CCUGCGACAUAUUCUGGUCCACUUGUCUUAUAUUAGGAAUACCCCUUAACUCAUAUUAAGAGGAUGACAUCUUCCCAAGUUCCCAUACUAUUCUCAUGGGUACCAAUGAGCUCAUUUCUUUAUGGUUAAUGGGAACCUUACCUAGGAAAGCAGGCCAAGAGAGGCAGGUUUUCCAUUAAUUGAAUCAUUAAAACCCCCUGGCCUGACUGCUUGGGUUAGAUGCUGGGUGUGCAGUGGCCCCUACACAAGCUCAGGGUCUAGUGGGGUCACCACUGACAGUGGGGUUGAGGGCCGAGCAAGGACAAACUUAGGGUCCCUCUUCUCCUUCUGGCAAGAUUGUCCUGGAAAUCUCCUGUCACACCUCUGGGGUGAUGGCAGCUGUCAUGGCCACACAAGGGAACAAGGCAGGGCAAUCACUGGGGACAUGCAUCAGCUCAUCAUGCUUUCCCCCAUGACUGUCCUCUGCAAAGCCACAUUGCCCAGAGGCGCUUGUCCAAAGCAGACCACCCCAUAAAGAAACAAGUGUUCUCAGGUUAGGAGACAAAGGUCAGGAUGAUAGGGAAGAAGGCAUGUUCACUUCUAUGUGACAGGGGAGUGCUGAGCUGGGGACAUGAGAGUGGUGUGGGGCUUGCCCUGGCCUGACCGCUUCACUGAAUCUGGUUGGGGGUGGGGGCAUGGAAAGAAGUUGUGCUAAACCUGGCAAGGUGAGGGACCAGACUCGAGGACAGUGCUAGCUUCGCAACUCUGCUCUGCAGGAGGGUGAUGGGGUUAAGAAACAGAAGCAACAUUGGGUUCCCUCGGGACUUUUCCCUUUUUCCACCAUCAAGACUGUUUUAAGGACCAGAAGGGAAAUCACGAGGCGACAAGAGGCUACUAUGACUGAGGAGACAGGCCCUAGAAAGGAGUUGUUGGUAUGAGCUGCUGAUAGAGCACCAUGGGCUGGGAUGGGGCGGGGCAUGGCCACGACUCAACUGGACAAUGGUAGGUCUGUGUGUCCCAGAGACGAUGAGGAAGAAAGUCGGGUGUGAUGUGAGACUGCACCUGGUGUCUCAGGAAUAUCAACUUAUCCUAGAUUUCAAACUGCGCAGUCUCCUACCAGCCCCAGGGUGGUUCUUCCACAAUUCGUUAGCUGUUCCAUCUGAAGCACAGAUGCUUUAGGGAUUAAAUAUUACUGAGAAUAUUUGGACUUGACGUUUUGUAAUUCCAUGACCAAAACAGACCUUGAAGAACAAAAUUCAAAUUGUUAGCUUUGCCCCUGAGGCCCUAAGGAUUUCAUAGGAAUGUGAAAGAAGAAUUCUAUGAAUUAUUUCCUCUGCAUAAGAAAUUGUUCUCCCCCAGGAUUUUUGUGACAUCUUGGGAGAUGGAAGGGGAUAACACAAAACUUCUCUUGAGAUGGUCAAAAUGAAAUUAAUUCCUAUUCUCCAGCAAGGAAGAGCAGGGUGGAAAUUCUCUCACUGAGCUCAGAGGCUGCUCAACCUCUCUGGUGGUUUAUGGGCCUUGUUGCCUCUGCAUACAUUUAUUUACCUGUGUCCUCACGCACAAGGGGCUGUGCCUGGCACUGGGGCUUUGGACUGUGACAGGGGUGAGCCUGGGCUGGGGAAGAAGCCUGCCCCAGCACUUUGGGCCCGGCAGCCCAGCUUCCUGGGGGAUGCAGACUCUGCCCAAUGUCUUCAAUAAGUUGUGUCUACAGAGGCCAAAAAGAGGCCAUGGGGUUUCUCUGGAAGAACACAGGCUCUGGGUAAAGGAAGGAGACCAGAGUUUCUGCCUUUUGGUGGGGUUAUGUUUGUGACAACUCUGACAAAAAUGGCUGGAUAUAUUCUGUGUCCAGCUAGAAUUUUCCAUGGCUGGAGGAGCCUGUGAGUUACACUAAGCAGUUCCUGUGGUCUGGAACAAUUACUUGGGACAUAGCAUAUGCUCAUCAUGCCCUAUUUUCUAAUGUGAACUUUGUAGAUUUAGGUGCUCAAUGAAUAUGUAAUGGAGUGCAUGAAUGAGGUCUCCUACCAUUCAGCCAAUCACAGAGCUCCCUUUGGUUGCUAAGGCAACUUGGAUGGGUUGGUAAGAGGAAUUAAACUUAGUGGUCCAAUGUGACUGCCUCUUGCAGUUGAAUUAAUUCAAUACCUGAGGCAUCUCCUGGAGAUUACAUCAAACAGCUAGUUUCCUAGCCUGACAGGCAAGGCUCAUCAAUCUGUUCAAUGUGUUCUCACUCUCUUUAACAACAACAAAAAUUCAUUUUGAGGUAAAAUAUCCUGAAGGGGCCUUUUGUAAUCCGCAUCACCCAGAGAGGGUCAAACGCAUCACUUCCAUCCUGGGAGGCAUAUUUCACUUCUGGUUAGUGUCAAACUUUAUCUUAUUUGUCAACAAAGCACUGUGGGAAAUAGACACUACCAGGCACAGCCUCUCUUUUUAACAUGUUUAUGGAAGGAAGACCCUGGUUUAGCAAUCGGUGAAUUUAUCACUUCUUAUCAAUGAAAUUCAAUAGUACACGUGCUCAGACCUUGCCUGAGAUACCAAGAAGCUAAGAUCUAAUUAGUACAUGUUUCCUAGUGAUAGUAAAUUGUUACCCUUCAAUUACUCUUAAAUCUAUAGCAGACACAGAAAACGUACUUUCAAAGGGGCUAUAUAUUCCAUGUCUCACAUAUCACUGAAAAAACCCCAGCUGUGAAUUAUGAUGGGAAAUUUGUGGCUGGGUUUAUUUUACAAAAGGUUCAAUGAAGGUCAGAGGGAAUCAACACUGUACUUAAUGCACAAGAUGAACUUUUAUUUGUGAAAAAGGGGAAAUGUAACCAGAGGACAGGAAUUUACCACUUGGCAGGGCAAGUUGGUUCACCUUUUUUCUUCAUUUAAAGGUUUCAUGUCAUCCUUAGGCAUUUUCUAUUUUUUAAGAAUGUUAGGAUUCAGCUUCCAAGGAAAACCUCAUUGAGUUUUUAAUUAGUCUUGGACUUAAUUUAUAGGUAAAUUAGGAUGAUAUUUUAAAAUAUGCUCUCAUAUUUACUCUAGUAUUUUACAUCUUUAUCUUUGAUUCAGAUAAAAAUAAUUUUGAGAGAAAACGUAAAGUAGGGGUCCAUCUUCCAUUACAUCCCAGAAGGUUAGCCAUUUAUCCAAACACCAGUUAUCAAACAAUCUAUCUUUUCCUAACUGGUUCACCUAAUGUUAUAUCUUUUACUAAACUUUACAUAAUAUUUGAACUCUAUUUUCCAUUUCAUUGAUGUUUUCCAUUUAUGUGUCAAUAUUAAGCUUGUAAUUACCAUAUGUUAUAAUCCUUAUCUCCUCUUUAGAAUUAUUUGGGGUAUACUUUUAUCUUGCCUUUUCAUAAAUACUGUUCAAUUAGCUUUUUGCUUCCAUUAAUUCUCCUUCUCUUCUAAAAUGUCAAAAUCACAUUAAUAUACAUUUACAAGUGGACAGAGAGGGUAUUGACAGCUUUACAGAUUUAUAUAGAUUUAUGAAUUUAUAGUCUUGAGAGCUGUAUAAUAUUGAUUUUUCCUCAAAAAUAGAGUAUGUCUUUCCAGUCAUUAAAAUAGCUUUUUAAAAAAUAAUUCUCACUAGCAUUCACAAUUUUUCCUCAUAGUGCUUUAACAUAUUCCUUGUUAGUACUUAUUUUUUUAUUGUUUAUACUUAUUUUUUGUUGUUUAUUACUAUUAAGUUAUAGCAACAGUCCUUUUCUCAUUAUGUUUUCUA
This 3675-nucleotide long non-coding RNA is filed under the name Sus scrofa (pig). RNAcentral's name for it is "lncRNA (ENSSSCG00000062071.1)". The record is from RNAcentral. Lineage: Eukaryota; Metazoa; Chordata; Mammalia; Artiodactyla; Suidae.